GCCGAUGUAGCCUAGCGGUUAGGCGGCUGUCUUGUGAACAGCUCCAGGCGGUUCGACUCCGCACGUCGGCU
RNAcentral lists this transfer RNA (71 nucleotides) under Betaproteobacteria bacterium ADurb.Bin341. RNAcentral describes it as "tRNA-Thr". It matches the Rfam family "tRNA". Rfam says of the family: Transfer RNA (tRNA) molecules are approximately 80 nucleotides in length. Their secondary structure includes four short double-helical elements and three loops (D, anti-codon, and T loops). The record is from RNAcentral. Lineage: Bacteria; Pseudomonadati; Pseudomonadota; Betaproteobacteria.